CCUGUAAAGCCUGAACUAUUGAAUGAUGGAUAGAAAAUUCAAAAUCUUUGAGAUCAGAAGAGAAAUUGCCAAUUCUCAUAUACAACAUGACUUUCAGUUUGUAUCUUGCUGUCUCUUGCUUGUCCGGAACAUGCAUUCUUUUCUUGUUCUUUUUGUAUUUCAAUCAAAAUUCUUUGGUUCUCCUUCCGUCAUUGGGCAAAAUAGUUCACUAAUUACAAUUCAGAAUAGUCUCUUUAAUUGUUUAUCUUUCUUUUAUUUGCCAUGAUGCUCCCAAGGACAUACACCGCAAGCGUUUUCUGAUCAACACAUCGGCGGGCUUUGGCUGGAAUGACGCUGCCGGCGGGGUUAACCUCGUUUUCCUUUCCUUGAUCGGAUUCCCAAGGCGUCGUUGGGAAGAACAAGAAGAAAAAAGUGGCCCCACUUGGUGUGAGGAAGCAUUUCCCAUCCAUCUGCUUGGAGAUGAGUGACCUUGGAUGUCACAAAGUGGCUCAACAUGCCCCUCAUGCUCAUCAGCCAGGAAGCGCCUCGCUCACCUCGCGCCUCGGCUAUGGGUCUGUCGUUCUGUUUUUCGUCAGGGUGCGUUUCAUUUGUCCAGAAAGAGUGAUCUCAUGAUUGAUGACUCCCACCGCGGCCCUUCAACCACAUCAGACUGUCUCGGGCCUUAUCUGCAAAUGUGUAUGGCCUGCCGGUGGGCAAUUUAGGACAGUUUAGUCCUCAAGCACUUCUCCACCAGCCUUUGCUUUGAGAGCCGCAAAAUAAUUUGCAGUAAAUUGUCCUAUCGUUUAAAAAGGUGCACAGCUGCAAUGUGUUGAGUGGCAAUAAAUAAUAAACCAAU
Molecule: long non-coding RNA, 835 nt
Organism: Hippocampus zosterae (dwarf seahorse)
Lineage: Eukaryota; Metazoa; Chordata; Actinopteri; Syngnathiformes; Syngnathidae
Exons: 2
Source: RefSeq, a predicted model, not a curated record